GACGAACCGUGCGAACGUUGUUCGGAAUUACUGGGCGUAAAGGGCGAGUAGGCGGCCUUCUAAGUCAGACGUGAAAUCCCCCGGCUUAACCUGGGAACUGCGUCUGAUACUGGGAGGCUCGAGUAUGGGAGAGGGAUGUAGAAUUCCAGGUGUAGCGGUGAAAUGCGUAGAUAUCUGGAGGAAUACCGGUGGCGAAGGCGGCAUCCUGGACCAUUACUGACGCUGAAUCGCGAAAGCUAGGGGAGCAAACGGG
RNAcentral lists this ribosomal RNA (253 nucleotides) under uncultured bacterium. RNAcentral's name for it is "partial 16S ribosomal RNA". It matches the Rfam family "Bacterial small subunit ribosomal RNA", at positions 524 to 776 of the family's 1533-position model. The record is from RNAcentral.